Molecule: long non-coding RNA, 1338 nt
Organism: Xiphophorus maculatus (southern platyfish)
Lineage: Eukaryota; Metazoa; Chordata; Actinopteri; Cyprinodontiformes; Poeciliidae
Exons: 2
Source: RefSeq, a predicted model, not a curated record
GGUAGAACAGGUUUGGGCGAGGCGGUCAAGAGACUCAGCAGAGAGAGAGAGAGACGAGUCAGAUUUAUUGUUUCGGUCAAAUAAAACUUUAUUUUUUCUCCAGACACAAAGUACCUGAAUCUGUUCCAGACAGAAGAAGAAGAAGAAGAAGAACCUGCCAGAAGAGUUGGACUGUUUUUAAAGAGACAGAGGAAGACAAAGGUGGACACACCUGAGGACAGAUUGGCUGUUCCUCCUCCCCCCCCUCCGACCCCUCCUGUGACAUCAUCAAUAUGUCAUCAAAAAUCAACAUUUCUUUGGAGAACCCGUACGGUCAGGUGACCAUCCCUCGGGCUAAGCUCCGCCCCUCAGAUGAUGCAACAGUGAUAGCCAAUCCGGUGGCUCUGAACAGCGAGAACCCAUACGCCCAGAAGGGCUCGGCCCCGCCCCCCUACACGGUGACGGAGGAAGAGGAGGAGGAAGAGGCGGGGCGGUGCCCAGCGUGCUGCUACCGCUGUCGCAGGAGGAAGUGAUGUCACCGUGGAAAGAGGACUGUGAUUGGCUCAUUAGCAGAUAUUCUACUUCAGGGCUGACCAGGCGUUGAUACAUCUGCAAAACCAGAACCAGAACCAGAACCAACAGAACCAGAACCGGGCCGCAGAUCCGAAGCUUAGAGACUUCAGAGGAAACGGUUCAAACUGACUUUGGACCAUCGAUCCUGGUUCUGGAGGACAGGACAGAACCUGGACAGAACCCGGACAGAACCAGGACAGAACCAGGAUAGAACCCGCCCAUGAACAGCUUCAGGACAUCAAAGAUUGUUAAAACUCUGAGAAACAAGAGAUUUAAAUGUUUGGUUUUUAUAUUUUUUAGAUUUAUUUAGAUUUUUAAUUCCUUCAAAAAGACAAGAUGGCUGCCUUUCUGCCGUUGCCAUGACAACUCCACCUGAAGACAGAAGUCUUUGUCUUACAGCUUUAAAUCAUUUUCACAUAUAAAAUAUAAAUCAGAUCCCGUUUAAUGGUUUUAUAUUUGAUCAAAGUUCAGAAAAACAUUUAGGAUUUUAUUUUAAACAAAAAGAUUUUGAUCAGAUUUUGUUCCAUCAGCAGGAAAACGAACCGAAUCAUGUUCACGUCCAGAACCAAGCAGAGAUCAUGGCUGUGAAACAAAGGGAUUUUAUAAAUGGUAGAUCAUUAUUUUGUUGUUUUAUUUCUGGAUUCAGGAAAAAUGUUUCUCCAUAAAGUAUUUCUGUUUUCACCACCAUCAUUUUCAAUAUGAAGGAUUUUUCAAAGUCUAUGUGAAGCAGAAUGAUGUCGCAGCGACUUGUAGAUGACGAACAAAAUAAAAACAUUAUUUACUUUG